RNAcentral lists this transfer RNA (82 nucleotides) under bacterium. Its description in RNAcentral is "tRNA-Leu". It matches the Rfam family "tRNA". Rfam says of the family: Transfer RNA (tRNA) molecules are approximately 80 nucleotides in length. Their secondary structure includes four short double-helical elements and three loops (D, anti-codon, and T loops). The record is from RNAcentral. RNAcentral also lists the same sequence under 1 other name.
GGGCGCGUGGUGGAAUGGCAGACACGCUGGAUUUAGGUUCCAGUUCGCAAGAGUGCGGGUUCAAGUCCCGCCGCGCCCACCA